AUACUUACCUGGCGUGGGGGUUACCGUGAUCAAGAAGGUGGUUCCCCCAUGGCGAGGCCUUGUCAUUGCACUGCGACUUGCUUGACCCCUGCGAAUGCCCCAAAUGUGGGCAUCUCGGGCGCAUAAUUUUUGAAGAUGGAAUACGCUGAAUGAGGAGACCUUCAU
This 165-nucleotide small nuclear RNA is filed under the name Nilaparvata lugens (brown planthopper). Its description in RNAcentral is "U1 spliceosomal RNA". The stretch from base 1 to 137 matches the Rfam family "U1 spliceosomal RNA". Rfam says of the family: U1 is a small nuclear RNA (snRNA) component of the spliceosome (involved in pre-mRNA splicing). Its 5' end forms complementary base pairs with the 5' splice junction, thus defining the 5' donor site of an intron. There are significant differences in sequence and secondary structure between metazoan and yeast U1 snRNAs, the latter being much longer (568 nucleotides as compared to 164 nucleotides in human). Lineage: Eukaryota; Metazoa; Arthropoda; Insecta; Hemiptera; Delphacidae. The record is from RNAcentral.